This 548-nucleotide ribosomal RNA is filed under the name fungal sp. SNB-GSS07. RNAcentral's name for it is "partial large subunit ribosomal RNA". Lineage: Eukaryota; Fungi. The record is from RNAcentral.
GCCGGGGGAUGCUACCUGAUCCGAGGUCAACCUUUGGAAAAUUGGGGGUUUUACGGCAAGAGUCCCUCCGGAUCCCAGUGCGAGACGUAAAGUUACUACGCAAAGGAGGCUCCGGGAGGGUCCGCCACUACCUUUGAGGGCCUACAUCAGCUGUAGGGCCCCAACACCAAGCAGAGCUUGAGGGUUGAAAUGACGCUCGAACAGGCAUGCCCGCCAGAAUGCUGGCGGGCGCAAUGUGCGUUCAAAGAUUCGAUGAUUCACUGAAUUCUGCAAUUCACAUUACUUAUCGCAUUUCGCUGCGUUCUUCAUCGAUGCCAGAACCAAGAGAUCCGUUGUUAAAAGUUUUGAUUAUUUGCUUGUACCACUCAGAAGAAACGUCGUUAAAUCAGAGUUUGGUUAUCCUCCGGCGGGCGCCGACCCGCCCGGGGGCGGGAGGCCGGGAGGGUCACGGAGACCCUACCCGCCGAAGCAACAGUUAUAGGUAUGUUCACAAAGGGUUGUAGAGCGUAAACUCAGUAAUGAUCCCUCCGCAGGUCCCCCCUACGGAA